RNAcentral lists this ribosomal RNA (473 nucleotides) under uncultured bacterium. RNAcentral describes it as "bacterial SSU rRNA". It matches the Rfam family "Bacterial small subunit ribosomal RNA", at positions 8 to 526 of the family's 1533-position model. The record is from RNAcentral.
AGGGUUUGAUCAUGGCUCAGAACGUACGCUGGCGGCACGCCUAACACAUGCAAGUCGAACGAAGUAGCAAUACUUAGUGGCAGACGGGUGAGUAACAUGUAGGUAUCUGCCCUUUGGCCUGGAAUAACACGAGGAAACUUGUGCUAAUACCGGAUAAGUCUUUACGGAGAAAGCUUUAUGCACCAUUGGAUGAGCCUGCACUUGAUUAGUUUGUUGGUGGGGUAAUGGCCUACCAAGACUGUGAUCAAUAGCUGAUUUGAGAGGAUGAUCAGCCACAUUGGGACUGAGACACGGCCCAAACUCCUACGGGAGGCAGCAGUGGGGAAUCUUGCACAAUGGAGGAAACUCUGAUGCAGCGAUGCCGCGUGAGUGAAGAAGGCCCUUGGGUUGUAAAGCUCUCUCGUCGGGGAAGAAAAUGACUGUACCCGAAUAAGAAGGUCCGGCUAACUUCGUGCCAGCCGCCGCGGUAAUUC